This 406-nucleotide ribosomal RNA is filed under the name uncultured bacterium. RNAcentral describes it as "partial 16S ribosomal RNA". It matches the Rfam family "Bacterial small subunit ribosomal RNA", at positions 30 to 526 of the family's 1533-position model. The record is from RNAcentral.
AUUGAACGCUGGCGGCAGGCCUAACACAUGCAAGUCGAACGAGCGGCGGACGGGUGAGUAAUGUAUGGGAAUCUGCCCGAUAGAGGGGGAUAACUACUGGAAACGGUGGCUAAUACCGCAUACGAUCGGAUGUACCCAUAUGGGAUUAGCUAGUAGGGGGGGUAAAGGCUCACCUAGGCGCCGAUCCCUAGCUGGUCUGAGAGGAUGAUCAGCCACACGGGGACUGAGACACGGCCCAGACUCCUACGGGAGGCAGCAGUGGGGAAUAUUGCACAAUGGGCGAAAGCCUGAUGCAGCCAUGCCGCGUGUAUGAAGAAGGCCUUAGGGUUGUAAAGUACUUUCAGCGGGGAGGCGUUACCCGCAGAAGAAGCACCGGCUAACUCCGUGCCAGCAGCCGCGGUAAUUC